CACUUCACACAGCACACUUCACAUUUCACACUUUUCACACACUUCACAACAAGUGCUGAACAAAAUACUUACAAAACACUUCAAAAACACAUCUCAAGGACUUAACAAACAAUAACACUUAAAUAAACACUUAAAAAUCACACUUCACUAUUUACACCAAAACACCCAAACACAAACACUUAACCACUUCAAACCACUUCACCCUUCACACUACACACUUCAUACUUUAAAACAAAUACUUAAGCAUUUCAUACUGAAAUAAUUACUUUAACAUUCCACACAUGAACACAAACACACAAACACUUCACACUUGAACACUUAAUAGCUUAAAACAAACACCUUUAACACCUAAACACACAAACACACAAACACUUCACAAGUAAAUAAACACUUCACAAACAAUUACACUUAACUAACACAUAUAAAACACUUCACUAACAGUUAACAAACACUAACACUUAAAAAUUACACUUCACACUUAAAAAAAACACUUUAACACUUUAACGCUUAAACACACACUUUAACACUUAACACUUAAGCACACACUUUAGCACUUCACACUCAACACUUAACCACACACUUUAACACUUUAACGCUUAAACACACACUUUAACACUUAACACUUAAACACACACUUUAGCACUUCACACUCAACACAUAAACACACACUUAAACACUUAACACUUCAACACCUUAACACCUAAAUACCCAAACACCCAAAUACCCCAACACUAAUUGAUUUUAUAUGUACUAUUCCUAGAGAACUUACAUUUACAUUAUAAUAUAGGAAAGAGACUGAUUCAAGUAUAUAAUUUCUAUGAAUAAAAUUAUAUUUCAAAAACAUGUUUAAAUGCAAAACGAAAUUUAAAAAAUUAAAAAUUACAAAAAACCUUUAUCCUACCCCGCACUCUAAUAUAUAGAAGUAAGAAACUCUAUUACUUCAAUAAGAAUUAGAAAGCACCCGUCAAGUUUUGGCUUCAACUUCAUCUACUACCAAUAUAUUGUUGUGUAGUGCCAACUGUGCUUCUUCUAUCUGCAAACAAAAGAGUGAUUUAUGAGAAAAUAGAUAUCAACUGCAAAAUAAAGCUAGACCACUCAACUUGCAUCAUCAUAUGAAUUUAUAAAUACAUAUGCUUUUACCAACUCAAUAUGAUAAUUGACCUAGAACCUUGAUAAAUGGCAUGGACUCAAAAUCUCCUGCAAGCAUGAAAGUUGGUCGUAACAAACAGAAAAUUUUGAAAAUAAAUGUUACUGUCAUUUAUUAUAACUGUACCUAGAGUGUCAUCCAAUUCAAUGACACAUAUCUGCAGGUCCAGGCAUGCCUUCCACUGGUAUCAUUGUUACGCGUCCAAUCCACUUUUGAAUAGCAUCUAUAACGUGAGGAACAAUCUAUAGGUAGCAACAUUACACAAAGGCUAUUGCAAGCCACAAUAGCUGAUGGGUUCAAUAGUUAUUAAAUACCUGGACAGUUUUUUCAGAUAGUCUCCCCUUCUUUUCUUAUCUAUAACAUGCCAAAAGGAAAAAAAAUUAUUAAAAAGAAAUCAGCUAGCUGAUUAUUAUUUUUGAUUUCUCCUAGCAGCAGACACAAAAAUAAUCAAAAAAGAUGUGUAAGUUAAUCUCACCUAGUACAUUUUUUCAGUACUGAUAUUAUUGUCUCUUCUCAACUUGAUAUCCAAAAAAUUCAUAAUUUCUGAUGUCCAGGUUCACCUUUCAAACAACAAAAAAAAGUCAUUUUCUUCCUAACCUUUUAAGCAGUGAUACUUUCUAAACAAUAAUUAAUAGAGAUAAUAAAAGAAAUGAUAAUUAAAAAUUACUCGCCUUUUAGGAAAUAAGAAACUCCCACAUGUACAAAAUAAAAUCAAAAAAGCAUGUAAAAGAAAAUGAAUUCCAAACAGGAAAAAGUUAAUUAUGAUCAUAAAUUAGAAAAUUCACUUUUUGUAUAUGGAUUUCUCGAUAAUAUCAACAAAAAAAGACAAUUUUUUUUUCCUUUUACUUAAGAGUGGAGGAAGGAAGGAAUAGGAAGAGACCUAUUUAAUGAAAAUAACACGAAUACUAAAAAUCAACUACUAACUACUAACCACAAACUUACACACUUGUACACUUCAACAAACACUUGUACGUAACAAAAACUUAACAAAACGCUUCAAAAAUACUGCACAAAGACUUAACAAAUACUAACACUUAACAAACAAUAAAACUUAAAUAUCACAUUUCACACUUAACACCUAAACACACAAACACUUUAACAGUACACACUUCAAACCACUUCACACUACACAUUUCACACUUAAACAAACAUUUUAACACUUCACGCUUAAAUAAACACUAACUUUUAACACCUUAACACAAACACUUCACAUUUCACAAACACUACCAUUUACCAAACACUACAACUUAAACAUUACACUUCACACAUAAGUACUUCACACCCUUAGAGCUUAAUACAGUUAAAAAAAACGUAACAAAUACUUUACAAACACUUAACAAACUAACACCUAAGCAUCACACUUCACACCUUUACACUUUCACACUUAAACACAUAACAACUUAACACACAAAUACACUCACACACUUCACACUUAAGAAACACUAACACUUAAAUAUCAUACUUAACACUGCACGCUUUCACAAAUAAAUACUUAAACACCCAAACACUUAACACCUAACUUCACAUACUUCACACGCCUCACUAUUCACACUUAACAAACAAUAACACUUAAACAUCAUACUUUACACUGCACAUUUUCACACGUAAAUACCUAAACACUUAACACCUUAAUACCUAAACACCUAACUUAACACUUCACACACUUCACAAACUUCACACUCUUCACACUUCACACACUUCACACUCUUCACAACUCCUAACUUCACACUCUUCACACUUCACACAUCACACUUCACACUCUUCGCACUCCGCACUCUUCGCACUCCGCACACUCCGCACUCCGCACUCCGCUCCGCACUCCGCACGCCGCACGCCUUUCUCUCUCCAAAGCACUCUUCACAACACCUAACUUCAUACUUCACACACUUUACACUCUUCACACUCCGCACUCCGCACUCCGCACUCCGCACUCCGCACUCUUCACACUCUUCACAACACCUAACUUCAUACUUCACACACUUUACACUCUUCACACUUCACACUUCACACACAUCACACACACUUCACACUUCACACUUCUCACUCUUUACACUUCACAUUUCACACUUUACACUCGUCACACUUCACAAUUCACAAUUGGCACUUCACACACUCGAACACUUCAUACUCGUCACACUUCACACUUCACACUAUUCACACUUCCCGCACUUUGCACAUUGUCACACUUUGUCACACUUCACAUUUGUCACACACUUCACACUUCACACAUUUCACACACUUCACACUUUACACUUCACACAACACACUUCACACUUUUCACACACUUCACAAUAAGCGCAAAACAAAAUACUUACAAAACACUUCUCAAAGACCUAACAAACAAUAACACUUAAAUAAACACUUAAAAAUCACACUUCACGCUUUACACCAAACCACCCAAACACACAAACACUUAACCACUUCAAACCACUUCACCCUUCAUACUACACACUUCACACUUUAAAACAAAUACUUAAGCAUUUCAUACUUAAAUAAAUACACUAACAUUUAACACCUAAACACAAACACACAAACACUUCACACUUAAACACUUAAUAGCUCACCACAAACACCUAAACACACAAACAAUUACACUUAACAAACAAUUACAAAACACUUCACCAACAGUUAACAAACACUAACACUUAAAAAUUACACAUCACACUUAAAAAAAACACUUUAACACUUUAACACUUAAACACACACUUUAACACUUAACACCUAAGCACACACUUUAGCACUUCACACUCAACACAUAAACACACACUUUAACACUUAACGCUUCAAUACCUAAACACCUAAAUACCUAAACACCCAAACACCUCAACACUAAUUGAUUUUAGAUGUACUAUUCCUAGAGAACUUAUAUUUAUAUUAUAAUAUAGGAAAGAGACUUAUUCAAGUAUAUAAUUUCUAUGAAUAAAAUUAUAUUUCAAAAACAUGUUUAAAUGCAAAACGAAAUUUAAAAAUUUAAAAAUUACAAAAAAUCAUUAUCCUGCCACGCACUCUAAUAUAUAGAAAUAAGAAGCUCUUUUACUUCAAUAAAAAUUAGAAAGCACCCGUCAAGUUUUGGCUUCCUCUUCAUCUACUACCAAUAUAUUGUUGUGUAGUGCCAACUGUGCUUCUUCUAUCUGCAAACAAAAGAGUGAUUUAUGAGAAAACAGAGAUCAACUGCAAAAUAAAGCUAGAGCACUCAAUUUGCAUCAUCAUAUGAAUUUAUAAAUCCAUAUGCUCUUACCAACUCAAUAUGAUAAUUAACCUAGAACCUUGAUAAAUGGCAUGGAUUCAAAAUCUCCUGCAAGCAUAAAAGCUGAUCGUAACAAACAGAAAAUUUUGAAAAUAAAUGUUACUGUCAUUUAUUGUAACUGUACCUAGAGUGUCAUCCAAUUCAAUGACACAUAUCUGUAGGUCCAGACAUGCCUUCCACUGGUAUCAUUGUUACGCGUCCAAUCCACUUUUGAAUAGCAUCUAUAACAUGAGGAACAAUCUAUAGGUAGCAACAUUACACAAAGGCUAUUGCAAGCCACAAUAGCUUAUGGGUACAACAGUUAUUAAAUAUCUGGAGAGUUUUUGUCAGAUAGUCUCCCCUUCUUUUCUUAUCUAUAACAUGCCAAACGGGAAAAAAAUUAUUAAAAAGAAAUCAGCUAGCUGAUUAUUCUUUUUGGUUUCUCCUAGUAGGAGACACAAAAAUAAUCAAAAGAGAUGUGCAAGUUAAUCUCACCUGGUAAAUUUUUCCAGUACUGAUAUUAUUGUCUCUUCUCAACUUGAUAUCCAGAAAAUUCAUAAUUUCUGAUGUCCAGGUUCACCUUUCAAACAACAGGAAAAAGUUAAUUAUGAUCAUAAAUUGGAAAAUUCACCUUUUGUAUAUAGAUUUCUCCGUAAUAUCAACAAAAAAAAAAAUUUUUUUUACUUUUACUUAAAAGAGGAGGAAGAAAGGAAGAGGAAGAGACCUAUUUGAUUAAAAUAACACGAAUACUAAAAAUCAACUACUAACUACUAACCACAAACUCUUAACCCUAACCAUAACCUUAACCAUAUACUAACCCUAACACUUCACAAACACUUAACAAACACUUCAAAAACACUAAACAAACAAUAAACACUUGAACAUUAUACGUAAACUUCAUACUUAAGUGUUUGUACAAAUACUUAAAAAACAAUUAACAAAUACUUUAACAAACACUUCACAAACACUUAACAAACACUAACAUUUAAGCAUCACACUUCACACUUAAACACUAAACACCUUAACACCUUAACACACAAACAUACUCACACGCUUCAAACUUAACAAACAUUAACACUUAAACAUUACACUUUAUACUUUCACACUUAAACAAUUAAACAUUUAACACUUAAACACAAAAAAAAAAAGUUACACACUUGUACACUUCAACAAACACUUAUACCUAACAAAAACUUAACAAAACACUUCAAAAAUACUGCACAAGGACUUAACAAAUACUAACACUUAACAAACAGUAACACUUAAAUAUCACACUUCACCCUUAACACCUAAACACACAAACACUUUAACAGUACACACUUCAAACCACUUCACACUUAAAUAAACAUUUUAACACUUCACACUUAAAUAAACACUUUAACUUUUAACACCUUAACACAAACACUUCACACUUCACAAACAGUACCAUAUACCAAACACUACAACUUAAACAUCACACUUCACACAUAAGUGCUUAACACCUUAAGAGCUUAAUACACUUAAAAAAAACGUAACAAAUACUUCACAAACACUUAACAAACAAACACCUAAGCAUCAAACUUCACACUUCACACCUUCACACUUAAACACUUAACACCCUAACACACAAAUACACUCACACACUUCACACUUAAAAAACACUAACACUUAAACAUCACACUUCACACUACACGCUUUCACACAUAAACACUUAAACACCUAAACAAUUAACACCUUAACACCUAACUUCACAUACUUCACACGCAUCACACACUUCACAUUUCACACUUAAGAAACAAUAACACUUAAACAUCACACUUCACACUGCACAUUUUCACACGUAAACACCUAAACACUUAACACCUUAACACCUAAACACCAAACUUAACACUUCACACACUUCAUAAACUUCACACUCUUCACACUCUUCACACUUCACACACUUCACACUCUUCACAACACCUAACUUCACACUUCACACACUUCACACUUCAUACUACACUUCACACACAAUUCACACACUCUUCGCACUUCACACACUCUUCGCACUUCACACUCGUCACACUUCACACUUCACACUUCACACUUCACACUCGUCACACUUCACACUCGUCACACUUCACAUUUCACACUCGUCACACUUCACACUUCACACUUCACACUCGUCACACUUCACACUCUUCACACAUCACACUUCAUACUUCACACAACACACACUUCACACUUCACACUCUUCAUACUCUUCACAACACCUAACUUCAUACUUCACACACUUCACACUCUUCACACACUUCACACAUCACACACUUCACACAACACUUCACACACAAUUCACACACACUUCACAUUUCUUACUUCUCACUCUUUGUACUUCACAUUUCACACUUCACACUCGUCACACUUCACACUCGUCACACUUCGCACUUCGCACUUCGCACUUCGCACACUUGAACACUUGAACACUUCACACUCUUCACACUUCACACUUCGCACUUCACACUUCGCACUUCACACACUUCACACUCUUUACACUUCCCCACUUCCCGCACUUCGCACUUUGUCACACUUUGUCACACUUCACAUUUGUCACACACUUCACACUUCACACACUUCACACUUCACAUAGCACACUUCAUACUUCACACUUUUCACACACUUCACAACAAGCGCUGAACAAAAUACUUGCAAAACACUUCAAAAACACUUCUCAAUGACUUAACAAACAAUAACACUUAAAAAUCACACUUCACUAUUUACACCAAAACACCCAAACACACAAACAUUUAACCACUUCAAACCACUUCACCCUUCAUACUACACACUUCACACUUUAAAACAAAUACUUAAGCAUUUCAUACAUAAAUAAAUACUUUAACAUUUAACGCCUGAACACAAACACACAAACACUUCACACUUAAACAUUUAAUAGCUUAACACAAACACCUUAAUACAUAAAUACACAAACACACAAACACUUCACAAGUAAAUAAACACUUCACAAACAAUUACACUUAACUAACAAUUACAAAACACUUCACCAACAGUUAACAAACACUAACACUUAAAAAUUACACUUCAUACUUGAAAAAAACACUUUAACACUUUAAUGCUUAAACACACACUUUAACACUUAACACUUAAGCACACACUUUAGCACUUCACACUCAACACAUAAACACACACUUUAACACUAAACACUUCAACACCUUAACACCUAAAUACCUAAACACCCAAACACCUCAACACUAAUUGAUUUUAGAUAUACUAUUCCUAGAGAACUUACAUUUAUAUUAUAAUAUAGGAAAGAGACUUAUUCAAGUAUAUAAUUUUUAUAAAUAAAAUUAUAUUUCAAAAACAUGUUUAAAUGCAAAACGAAAUUUAAAAAUUUUAAAAUUUAAAAAUUACAAAAAAUCAAUAUUAUGCCCCGCACUCUAAUAUAUAGAAGUAAGAAGCUCUUUUACAUCAAUAAGAAUUAGAAUGCACUCGUCAAGUUUUGGCUUCUUGUUCAUCUACUACUAAUAUAUUGUUGUGUAGUGCCAACAGUGCUUCUUCUAUCUGCAAACAAAAGAGUGAUUUAUGAGAAAACAGAGAUCAACUGCAAAAUAAAGCUAGAGCACUCAACUUGCAUCAUCAUAUGAAUUUAUAAAUCUAUAUGCUCUUACCAACUCAAUAUGAUAAUUAACCUAGAACCUUGAUAAAUGGCAUGGACUCAAAAUCUCCUGCAAGCAUAAAAGCUGAUCGUAACAAACAGAAAAUUUUGAAAAUAAAUGUUACUGUCAUUUAUUGUAACUGUACCUAGAGUGUCAUCCAAUUCAAUGACACAUAUCUGUAGGUCCAGACAUGCCUUCCACUGGUAUCAUUGUUACGUGUCCAAUCCACUUUUGAAUAGCAUCUAUAACAUGAGGAACAAUCUAUAGGUAGCAACAUUACACAAAGGCUAUUGCAAGCCAAAAUAGCUUAUGGGUUCAAUAGUUAUUAAAUACCUGGACAGUUUUUGUCAGAUAGUCUCCCCUUCUUUUCUUAUCUAUAACAUGCCAAAAGGGAAAAAAUUUAUUAAAAAGAAAUCAGCUAGCUGAUUAUUCUUUUUGGUUUCUCCUAGUAGCAGACACAAAAAUAAUCAAAAGAGAUGUGCAAGUUAAUCUCACCUGGUAAAUUUUUCCAGUAUUGAUAUUAUUGUCUCUUCUCAACUUGAUAUCCAGAAAAUUCAUAAUUUCUGAUGUCCAGGUUCACCUUUCAAACAACAAAAAAAAAGUUAUUUUCUUCCCAACCUUUUAACCUGUGAUAUUUUCUAAACAAUAAUCAAUAGAGAUAAUAAAAGAAAUGAUAAUUGAAAAUUACUCGCUUUUUAGGAAAUAAGAAACUCUCACAUCUACAAAAUAAAAUCAAAAAAGCAUGUAAAAGAAAAUGAAUUCCAAACAGGAAAAAGUUAAUUAUGAUCAUAAAUUGGAAAAUUCACCUUUUGUAUAUGGAUUUCUCCAUAAUAUCAACAAAAAAAAUAAUUUUUUUUCCUUUUACUUAAAAGAGAAGGAAGUAAGGAAGAGGAAGAGACCUAUCUAAUGAAAAUAACACGAAUACUAAAAAUCAACUACUAACCACAAACUCUUAACCCUAACCCUAACCCUAACCUUGACCCUAUACUAACCCUAACACUUCACAAACACUUAAGCAAACACUUCAAAAACACUUAACAAACAAUAAACACUUGAACAUCAUACGUAAACUUCACACUUAAGUGUUUGUACAAAUACUUGAAAAAUAGUUAACAAAUACUUUAACAAACACUUCACAAACACUUAACAAACACUAACAUUUAAGCAUCACACUUCACACUUAAGCACUAAACACCUUAACACACAAACAUACUCACACGCUUCAAACUUAACAAACAUUAACACUUAAACACUACACUUCAUACUUUUACACUUAAACAAUUAAACAUUGAACACUUAAACACACAAAAAAACUUACACACUUGUCCACUUCAACAAACACUUAUACGUAGCAAAAACUUAACAAAACACUUCAAAAAUACUGCAUAAGGACUUAAAAAUACUAACACUUAACAAACAGUAACACUUAAAUAUCACACUUCAUACUUAACACCUAAACACACAAACACUUUAACAGUUCACACUUCAAACCACUUCACACUACACACUUCACACUUAAACAAACAUUUUAACACAUCACGCUUAAAUAAACACUUUAACUUUUAACACCUUAACACAAACACUUCACACUUCACAAAAACUACCAUUUACCAAACACUACAACUUAAACAUCACACUUCACACAUAAGUACUUAACACCUUAACAGCUAAAUACAGUUAAAAAAAAUGUAACAAAUACUUCACAAACACUUAACAAACUAACAGCUAAGCAUCACACUUCACACCUUCACACUUUCACACUUAAACACUUAACACCCUAACACACAAAUACACUCACACACUUCACACUUAAGAAACACUAACACUUAAACAUCACACUUCACACUGCACGCUUUCACUCAUAAACACUUAAACACCUAAACAUUUAACACCUUAACACCUAACUUCACAUACUUCACACGCUUCACACACUUCAAACUUCACACUUAACAAACAAUAACACUUAAACAUCACACUUCACACUGCACAUUUUCACACGUAAAUACCUAAACACUUAACACCUUAACACUUAAAUACCUUACUUAACACUUCACACACUUCACAAACUUCACACUCUUCACACUUCACACACUUCACACUCUUCACAACACCUAACUUCACACUUCACACACUUCACACUUCACACACUUCACAAUUCAAACACACUUCACACUCUUCACACUUCACUCUGCGCACUUCACUCUUCGCGCACUUCACACUCUUCACGCACUUCACUUCACACUUCACACGCACUUUACUCUUCGCGCACUUCACACGCACUUCACUCCACACUUCACGCGCUUCACACUUCACACUUCACGCGCUUCACGCGCUCCACGCGCUCCACGAGCUCCACGCGCCACGCUCCACGCUCCAUGCGCCACGCUCCACGCUCCACGCUCCACACUUCACACACACUUCAAACUUCACACUUCACACUUCACACACACUUCACACUUCACACUUCACACACACUUCACACUUCACACCUCACACACAAUUCACACUUCAUACUUCACACUUCACACUUCACACUUCACACACAAUUCACACUUCACACACUUCACACUUCACACUUCACACUUCUCACUCUUUGCACUUCACAUUUCACACUUCACACUCGUCACACUUCACAAUUCGCACUUCGCACUUCGCACUUCGCACACUUGAACACUUUACACUCGUCACACUUCACAGUUCACACUCUUCACACUUCCCCACUUCCCGCACUUCGCACUUUGUCACACUUCACAUUUGUCACACACUUCACACUUCACACAUUUCACACACUUCACACUUUACACUUCACACAGCACACUUCACACAUUUCACACACUUCACACUUUACACUUCACACAGCACACACUUCACACUUCACACUUUUCACACACUUCACAACAAGCGCUGAACAAAAUACUUACAAAACACUUCAAAAACACUUCUCAAGGACUUAACAAACAAUAACACUUAAAUAAACACUUAAAAAUCACACUUCACUCUUUACACCAAAACACCCAAAGACACAAACACUUAACCACUUCACCCUUCAUACUACACACUUCACACUUUAAAAAAAAUACUUAAGCAUUUCAUACUUAAAUAAAUACUUUAACAUUUAACACCUGAACACAAACACACAAACACUUCACACUUAAACACUUAAUACCUUAACACAAACACUUUAACACCUAAAUACACAAACACACAAACACUUCCCAAGUAAAUAAACACUUCACAAACAAUUACACUUAACUAACAAUUAGAAAACACUUCACCAACAGUUAACAAACACUAACACUUAAAAAUUACACUUCACACUUGAAAAAAACACUUUAACACUUUAAUGCUUAAACACACACUUCACACUUCACACACACUUCACACUCUUCACACUUCCCCACUUCCCGCACUUCGCACUUUGUCACACUUUGUCACACUUCACAUUUGUCACACACUUCACACUUCACACAUUUCACACACCUCACACUUCACACAGCACACUUCACACUCCACACUCCACACUUUUCACACACUUCACAACAAGCGCUGAACAAAAUAUUUACAAAACACUUCAAAAACACUUCCAAGGACUUAACAAACAAUGACACUUAAAUAAACACUUAAAAAUCACACUUCACUCUUUACACCAAAACACCCAAACACACAAACACUUAAACACUUCAAAUCACUUCACCCUUCAUACUACACACUUCACACUUUAAAACAAAUACUUAAGUAUUUCAUACUUAAAUAAAUACUUUAACAUUUAACACCUCAAACAAACACACAAACACUUCACACUUAAACACUUAAUAGCUUAACACAAACACCUAACACAUAAAAACACAAACACACAAACACUUCACAAGUAAAUAAACACUUCACAAACAAUUACACUUAACUAACAAUUACAAAACACUUCACCAAUAGUUAACAAACACUAACACUUAAAAAUUACAGUUCACACUUGAAAAAAACAUUUUAACACUUUAAUGCUUAAACACACACUUUAACACUUAACACUUAAGCACACACUUUAGCACUUCACACUCAACACAUAAACACACACUUUAACACUAAACACUUCAACACCAUAACACCUAAAUACCUAAACACCCAAACACCUCAACACUAAUUGAUUUUAGAUGUACUAUUCCUAAAGAACUUACAUUUAUAUUAUAAUAUAGGAAAGAGACUUAUUCAAGUAUAUAAUUUCUAUGAAUAAAAUUAUAUUUCAAAAACAUGUUUAAAUGCAAAAUGAAAUUUAAAAAUUUUAAAAUUAUAAAAAAUCAUUAUCCU
Molecule: long non-coding RNA, 12301 nt
Filed under: Manihot esculenta (cassava)
Lineage: Eukaryota; Viridiplantae; Streptophyta; Magnoliopsida; Malpighiales; Euphorbiaceae
Description: long non-coding RNA (MESC_LNC007568)
Source: RNAcentral